CCCACCUCUAACGCCCAGCACAAGGCUCAGCAAGCCUCUCCCGCCGCGUUACUCCAGCCACAAUCUAUCUGUGUGUGUGUGUGUGUGUGUUUGGAGGGGGGGAUUCGCCCGCUGCGCGCGUCGUUACCGUUGCUCUUAGUCUUUGGUCUCGUGUUAUCCGCCUUACCGCGUCUCUUCCUGCUCCCGAUCACUCCGUUCACUAGCAGUCGGAAACAACCCGUAGCAUCCAUCUCUAGUAGUAGUACCACCUUCGUUGUAGCCGUCUUGGCCCCCGCCCCCUCCCCCCACUCCGGGUUUGUAGCGCCCGCACGGCACACCUUUUGCCACCCGUAGCGGACGCCGCGGCACCUCAACGACCUCGCCGGGUGGUUGUCGAGGAGGCCCCAACGUGUUCGUUGCCGUCGUUAUUUUUGUUGUUCGCCGAGUCCCCAAAUGAUGCUGCGUCGUGGCUGUGGCACAGCCAUCUCGACGGCGGCAGCAACGGCGAGCACGAGCCUCCGGUGUAGUGCACGCUGCAUUGCAAGCGAGUUCAAGGACAUCCGCCCACGAAGCGGUGGAGCCGCGCCGCCGCCGUCAAUCAGCAACAACGGGCCCAUUCUGCCCAUGGACUUCAACCCGCACAUUGAGUGGUUCGAGUACCCGAAAGAAAUUUUCGAUCCUAAGUUCCCGUACACCCGUGAGGAGAGCAUCCGCAUGACGGAGGAGUCGUGGGAGAGCACGAUGGACGAGAUGGCCAGCAAGUACGGCAUGCGACUGAACAUGUCCUCGAAGCCGACGUUCUGGAUGGCGUGGUUCAUUAUGUUCUUUUACAGCUGGUACACCCUCUGGGGCUGCUACCGCGCCAUGGGCACAGAGCCGGGCUGGUCGCACUUCAAGAACGUCGUGCUGAACCAGCCUACAGUGCCGGUGCUCGAGGAGGAUGACAUCUACCUCGAUCAGUGGAUGCGGCCCGAGAUGCGCGAGAAGUUCAGCCGCUAUGACCGCUUCUGGAACUGGAAGCCCCUGGUGAAACGCGAGGGCGCGAAGACGACGUGGCAGAUUCCGAUGCAGUACGCUGACGAGUCUGAGUGGCGCCACAUGACAAGCCGCUUCUAGCGCUCAUUUUUUGCGUGAGUGCGCACGUUGGCGGCACGCACCAGAGUGCUUGCCGAGCCGCGACGAAAGCAGGAUCCAGGAAGCGCGCCAGUGACGACGCAGGCACACACAGACACCCCCAUCCGCGUCGUGGACGGGCGGCUGUGCAUGUGUUCUCCUCCGCUGGCAGUAUGGCUAGGAGGGCCCUUUGUUUGUCGCAUGUCUCUCUCUCUCUCGCUUGCCCCUUUUCUUACCCACGCCUGCUGGCCGCGGUCCGCGCGUGUCGGAUCGCUUUCGAGCUGUAUGCGCAUGGGUUUGGCAUGUGUGUGUGUGUGGCCCGUUGCGGUGCUGCGCCCCUCCUCCUCUCCUUCGCCGGUAUCCGCGUAUGUGUGGUCCCCCCUUCCCUUCCCCUCCCCCGCUUCGUCCGGCCUCCCUGCGUGCACGGCUUCUUUUGUUCAACCGCUUAUUCAUGAUCUCGCUCACGCGCGUCAUGCAACCCGUCCUCAUUUAUGCAGUUGCGGGUUGCCUGACCGCUUGCUUCGCUGUUCUCUCUCUUUCCUGCCUUACGGCGCGCAUCAGGAC
Molecule: unclassified non-coding RNA, 1656 nt
Filed under: Leishmania donovani
Lineage: Eukaryota; Euglenozoa; Kinetoplastea; Trypanosomatida; Trypanosomatidae
Description: gene:LdHU3.08.0440(CDS-product:hypothetical_prote in_conserved)
Source: RNAcentral